RNAcentral lists this ribosomal RNA (677 nucleotides) under uncultured marine bacterium. RNAcentral describes it as "bacterial SSU rRNA". It matches the Rfam family "Bacterial small subunit ribosomal RNA", at positions 97 to 808 of the family's 1533-position model. The record is from RNAcentral.
GGCAGACGGGUGAGUAACAUGUAGGUAUCUUCCCAUUGGUGAGGAAUAACACGAGGAAACUUGUGCUAAUACCUCAUAAGUCUUUACGGAGAAAGCUUCAUGCGCCGAUGGAUGAGCCUGCACUUGAUUAGUUUGUUGGUAGGGUAAUGGCCUACCAAGACAAUGAUCAAUAGCUGAUUUGAGAGGAUGAUCAGCCACAUUGGGACUGAGACACGGCCCAAACUCCUACGGGAGGCAGCAGUAGGGAAUCUUGCACAAUGGGGGAAACCCUGAUGCAGCGAUGCCGCGUGAGUGAAGAAGGCCUUUGGGUUGUAAAGCUCUUUCGUCGGGGAAGAAAAUGACUGUACCCGAAUAAGAAGGUCCGGCUAACUUCGUGCCAGCAGCCGCGGUAAUACGAAGGGACCUAGCGUAGUUCGGAAUUACCGGGCUUAAAGAGUUCGUAGGUGGUUAAAAAAGUUGGUGGUGAAAUCCCAGAGCUUAACUCUGGAACUGCCAUCAAAACUUUUUAGCUAGAGUAUGAUAGAGGAAAGCAGAAUUUCUAGUGUAGAGGUGAAACUCGUAGAUAUUAGAAAGAAUACCGAUUGCGAAGGCAGCUUUCUGGAUCAUUACUGACACUGAGGAACGAAAGCAUGGGUAGCGAAGAGGAUUAGAUACCCUCGUAGUCCAUGCCGUAAACG